UAUCUGCUGCACCGUUGCUUUUUCCUGCGCCGCGAAGAAAGGCACGGUAAUAGAUUUACACUAUGAACGAAGACUUGCGGCGUGAAGGCUUGGCUCUUGUAAAGCUAUCCAGGUCUCAACUCACGAAGCCAACUCAAUGAGCCUAUUUAUUCUUUAGAACGCCUCCGAGGAAAUCAUGUUCCUGGAAGCAAAGCUGUCGACACGUAUGGGCGCUUCCACACAAAACAACACGGGUAACGCUGAACGCAACUGCUGUUGCACAGGCAAGUGACAUGAAACAGUCCAAGCCAUGUUGAUUACAUUUAUUCAUGAAGUACAGCGUGUUCUAGCUUACCUGUUCAAUCUUGUGGAUGGUGCCAAAGAGAAUGGGAUCGCAAUCCCGGUACCAGUAGAUCAGAGCCAUGGCCACCACUCCCAGGAAGCCGGUCGACACCACCAGGAGCACGCUGCCAG
Rhipicephalus microplus (southern cattle tick) is the source of this 453-nucleotide long non-coding RNA. The record is from RefSeq and is a predicted model, not a curated record. Lineage: Eukaryota; Metazoa; Arthropoda; Arachnida; Ixodida; Ixodidae.